This 462-nucleotide ribosomal RNA is filed under the name uncultured bacterium. RNAcentral's name for it is "partial 16S ribosomal RNA". It matches the Rfam family "Bacterial small subunit ribosomal RNA", at positions 28 to 507 of the family's 1533-position model. The record is from RNAcentral.
GACGAACGCUGGCGGCGUGCUUAACACAUGCAAGUCGAGCGGUAAGGCCUUUCGGGGUCCACGAGCGGCGAACGGGUGAGUAACACGUGGGUGAUCUGCCCUGCACCUCGGGAUAAGCCUGGGAAACUGGGUCUAAUACCGGAUAUGACCUCCUAUCGCAUGGUGGGUGGUGGCAAGAUUUAUCGGUGCAGGAUGGGCCCGCGGCCUAUCAGCUUGUUGGUGGGGUAAUGGCCUACCAAGGCGACGACGGGUAGCCGACCUGAGAGGGUGACCGGCCACACUGGGACUGAGACACGGCCCAGACUCCUACGGGAGGCAGCAGUGGGGAAUAUUGCACAAUGGGCGAAAGCCUGAUGCAGCGACGCCGCGUGAGGGAUGACGGCCUUCGGGUUGUAAACCUCUUUCAGCAGGGACGAAGCGCAAGUGACGGUACCUGCAGAAGAAGCACCGGCUAACUACGUG